Small nucleolar RNA from Rhincodon typus (whale shark), 238 nucleotides. RefSeq annotates it as small nucleolar RNA SNORA53. The transcript has a single exon. NCBI's taxonomy places the organism in Eukaryota, Metazoa, Chordata, Chondrichthyes, Orectolobiformes, Rhincodontidae. The record is from RefSeq and is a predicted model, not a curated record.
AACACACUCCUUCAAUGCACCUUUUUUCUGUUCUGUCUUGCUGGUGCUUCUUUUCACCCUGGUGCUGGAUUCUGCAAUGUGCUGACAGCUUAUGUUCAUCAACUUUAGAGGUUGCACAGUCGAAGGUGCUUGACUCAUUGGUGUGUAGGAGUAAUAUCCCUGCAUUGUAGUCCAGUUGUUCUGAUGUCAAUGACCAGGCUGUUAUGUACCAUUAGAACUUUGUUGCUGUGUGAACAUG